CAGCCGCCGCGGUAAUACCGGCGGCCCGAGUGGCGGUCACUAUUAUUGGGCUUAAAGCGUCCGUAGCCGGGUUGGGAAGUCCUCCGGGAAAUCUGGCCGCUUAACGGUCAGAAUGCCGGAGGAUACUCCCAGCCUAGGGAGCGGGAGAGGCCGAGGGGAUUCCCGGAGUAGGGGGGAAAUCCUAUAAUCCCGGGAGGACCGCCUGUGGCGAAGGCGCUCGGCUGGAACGCGUCCGACGGUGAGGGACGAAGGCCAGGGGAGCAAACCGGAUUAGAUACCCGGGUAGUCCUGGCUGUAAACGAUGCGGACUUUGUGUCGGACAAGCUAUGAGCUUGUCCGGUGCCGGAGGGAAACCGUUAAGUCCGCCGCCUGGGGAGUACGGCCGCAAGGCUGAAACUUAAAGGAAUUGGCGGG
Molecule: ribosomal RNA, 414 nt
Filed under: uncultured microorganism
Description: bacterial SSU rRNA
Rfam family: Archaeal small subunit ribosomal RNA
Source: RNAcentral